This 1396-nucleotide long non-coding RNA is filed under the name Homo sapiens (human). Its description in RNAcentral is "non-protein coding lnc-PDGFB-4:2". The stretch from base 578 to 670 matches the Rfam family "Small nucleolar RNA U83B". The record is from RNAcentral. Lineage: Eukaryota; Metazoa; Chordata; Mammalia; Primates; Hominidae.
AUGAAAUAAUCUUAUCACUCCCUCAGAUGACCCAGCCAUGGUUGGUAAUUGCUGAGUAGCAGGAAGGGGUCAGUGGGAGGUGCUGGGCGCUGAGGUGAAGUAAUGUGUAUCCAUUCCAGGGGUCACCAGUCGUUGGCACACCAAGAAGCUGCCCCGCAAGACCCACCGAGGCCUGCGCAAGGUGGCCUGUAUUGGGGCAUGGCAUCCUGCUCGUGUAGCCUUCUCUGUGGCACGCGCUGGGCAGAAAGGCUACCAUCACCGCACUGAGAUCAACAAGAAGAUUUAUAAGAUUGGCCAGGGCUACCUUAUCAAGGACGGCAAGCUGAUCAAGAACAAUGCCUCCACUGACUAUGACCUAUCUGACAAGAGCAUCAACCCUCUGGUAAGUAAUGGGUGUUCUGCUCUGUGAGGCCAUCCCAGGCCUCGUGCUUUUGGGGAUAGGCUGCUUCCUAGGGGCUGCUAGCAGGAUCGUUAACUGAAGCCAACACAACACCUAGCUGUGUCCCUUGUAAGUGGCAUGUUGUCAUCUGAGUCCACUCGUCGGGGUUGGCUGGUGAGAAGUGGGGUCUCAGGCUCAGCUGUUCAGUGAUGAGGCCUGGAAUGUGCGCUGGGCACAGCGCCCGAGACAGACUGCGGAACCGUUCCUUGUUGCCUUCCUUCUGAGAACAGCCCUGUGGUCAGGGAGGGCCUGAACCUGGAGGGGUCAUCUGCACGACAAUCCCCUCCUGGGCCUGUGCUGAUCCGAUGCUCGUUUUCCAGGGUGGCUUUGUCCACUAUGGUGAAGUGACCAAUGACUUUGUCAUGCUGAAAGGCUGUGUGGUGGGAACCAAGAAGCGGGUGCUCACCCUCCGCAAGGUGAGGCAGGUCCUGACUUGUCAUGGGGGGGCUCUUGUAGAGGGAGGAUCCAAGGCCACAGACGCUGGUGGCCCUGUGGUGGGAGAGGAAAGGAAGGAGAGGGUGUUGGCAGUCCUUUCACACUGGCUUUGAAGUCCUGAGAUGAGGAAAUUCCCAGUCUGGCCUUGCUGGGCUGUUUGCUGCUUUGAGUGUGUCCUCAUCUGCCGGAUGGUGGGGGAGGCUGAAUUGAUCGUGUGGCUUCCCAGAUGCAGGGGCGCUGUGAACAGUGCUGAGGAAAGCCUGGCUCCUCGUAAUCCUAAAUCCCUUCCCCUCUUGGCCCAUAGUCCUUGCUGGUGCAGACGAAGCGGCGGGCUCUGGAGAAGAUUGACCUUAAGUUCAUUGACACCACCUCCAAGUUUGGCCAUGGCCGCUUCCAGACCAUGGAGGAGAAGAAAGCAUUCAUGGGACCACUGAAGAAAGACCGAAUUGCAAAGGAAGAAGGAGCUUAAUGCCAGGAACAGAUUUUGCAGUUGGUGGGGUCUCAAUAAAAGUUAUUUUCCAC